This 920-nucleotide long non-coding RNA is filed under the name Brassica napus (rape). RNAcentral describes it as "long non-coding RNA (BNAP_LNC008981)". The record is from RNAcentral. Lineage: Eukaryota; Viridiplantae; Streptophyta; Magnoliopsida; Brassicales; Brassicaceae.
UUGCCACAUGAAAAAAAUAAUCAGAACCAACCAUUAUGCCAUGUCAUUCUGGACUGGACUUUAAAAAAAAAAACCAACCAUUAAAAUAUGCGAAGAGUCACGGUUUAACCUCGUUCAACUCCAGUUACAUCAUAAUAAAACAAUGCAUGCAUUGAUUGUUGAUUAUUAGUCUUCUAGCUACCACAUAUUUGCCAUCCUAAAUCAAAAUCGAUUUUUACAACUUUAACUUGCCCCAUACUUAAUAUUCUUAUAGCUGGUGAACAAUUUAAUUUAGGAAAUCGUUAUAUUUCAUGUCAAAAAUGCCUACUGUAUUCAUUGAAAAUUAAGUAACAUAUAUUCUACCAUUAGGAUCAAGAACUCUAAUCUGAAGACUAUAUAUUCAUCCCCUCUCACUCUGAAAAAACCACCACCGCCAACCGUUCAAGAUUUUGUGUAAGUCAAUAUUUGAAAGUCACAAUUUUGUCAAUUUUUUGGCAUAAGUGAUAUGUUUAAGAGUUGGAUAGUUAAGUCCGUAUGCGGUUGGGGACGUGGGGUUUGGCUCACCUUCCACUGUUUAUUUUCAAUUGUUUUAAUAAUAGAUUCAUAUUGAUAAUCUGUGCGAACAAACGUAUAAGAUUUUAGUUGGUUAAGAUUAAACAUAGACCGACAAUCUUCCGUCUUUAGCUAUUGGUCUCCGCCAAAAAAUUUUGAUUUAAUAUAAUAGUUCCUGCCUGCUAAGCUACUACAAUUGUAGUUCACGUCUAUCGGUCAUAUAAAAUAUUUAGUUUUUUUUUGGCUUUAUAAGAUUUUAGUUUGUAAUUAAUCUCAUGGUUCGAUUUUAUCCAUUGAGACCUUUUUCACUAUGUUUUAUUAUCAAACCAUUUCACUUUGCCUAACAUUUAAAUAUUCUUUCCUUUGUUUAAGGAUUGAUUGUUCCUCAA